UGCUCUGUUGGGCAAUAUGGUUGACUAGGAAUGAUGUGGUGUUUAAGAAGUCCAAACUAACUCUCUUAUGCAUAUUGGACAUGUUGGUUGCUGCCGUCUAAAGAGGAAGACAAGAUCACCUUGAAUGAGAAUUGUCGGAAACUGGAGAUUGCAAUCAUGAAGAUUUUCAACAAGUUUGGGUGGAAUAGGAUCAGUGCCUAGUUUCUGCUACUUUUGAACUAUAUUUAUGUUGCCUUCUGGCUUUCGGUGGUCUAACUACUGCUUUUAUGUUCUUUGGGCUGUAAUCAUUCACUUAUGAACACACUACUAGGGAAAGGACCUUUCGUCCAGCAUAUUAGUGCGGGUUGCAAUUGGGUUCGGUACUUGUGGCAGAACCACCCAAGUUAAUCCAACUAAAGUGUACUCAACCUCGCCUCAAUUGCGAAUGGUCACUUUAAUCGAAUUAAAAUGGUAGUCUGUCGGGUUUCACCCGAUAAACCACUUGUCUCGGAUCGAAACAAAGCAUACUCAUACGAAUGCGAGUCCAAAGAUUACAACAAUCCAGAUAAUUAUUACAGGUCCC
Molecule: long non-coding RNA, 562 nt
Filed under: Setaria viridis
Lineage: Eukaryota; Viridiplantae; Streptophyta; Magnoliopsida; Poales; Poaceae
Description: long non-coding RNA (SVIR_LNC004625)
Source: RNAcentral